AGGAGCUUGCUCUUCUUGGAUGAGUUGCGAACGGGUGAGUAACGCGUAGGUAACCUGCCUGGUAGCGGGGGAUAACUAUUGNAAACGAUAGCUAAUACCGCAUAAUANUANAUGUUGCAUGACAUUUGCUUAAAAGGUGCAAUUGCAUCACUACCANAUGGACCUGCGUUGUAUUANCUAGUUGGUGAGGUAACGGCUCACCAAGGCAACGAUACAUAGCCGACCUGANAGGGUGAUCGGCCACNCUGGGACUGANACACGGCCCANACUCCUACGGGAGGCAGCAGUAGGGAAUCUUCGGCAAUGGACGGAAGUCUGACCGANCAACGCCGCGUGAGUGAANAAGGUUUUCGGAUCGUAAAGCUCUGUUGUAANANAANAACGANUGUGANAGUGGAAAGUUCACACUGUGACGGUAUCUUACCANAAAGGGACGGCUAACUACNUGCCANCANCCGCGGUAAUACGUAGGUCCCGAGCGUUGUCCGGAUUUAUUGGGCGUAAAGCGAGCGCAGGCGGUUAGAUAAGUCUGAAGUUAAAGGCUGUGGCUUAACCAUANUACGCUUUGGAAACUGUUUAACUUGAGUGCAAGAGGGGAGAGUGGAAUUCCAUGUGUAGCGGUGAAAUGCGUANAUAUAUGGAGGANCACCGGUGGCGAAAGCGGCUCUCUGGCUUGUAACUGACGCUGAGGCUCGAAAGCGUGGGGAGCAAACAGGAUUANAUACCCUGGUAGUCCACGCCGUAAACGAUGAGUGCUAGGUGUUAGACCCUUUCCGGGGUUUAGUGCCGCANCUAACGCAUUAAGCACUCCGCCUGGGGAGUACNACCGCAAGGUUGAAACUCAAAGGAAUUGANGGGGGCCCGCACAA
RNAcentral lists this ribosomal RNA (869 nucleotides) under Streptococcus mitis. Its description in RNAcentral is "partial 16S ribosomal RNA". It matches the Rfam family "Bacterial small subunit ribosomal RNA", at positions 74 to 928 of the family's 1533-position model. Lineage: Bacteria; Bacillati; Bacillota; Bacilli; Lactobacillales; Streptococcaceae. The record is from RNAcentral.